UGAAAACCGCUCGGAUGACUUGUGGGUAGGGGUGAAAGGCCAAUCAAGCCUGGAGAUAGCUGGUUCUCCCCGAAAUCUAUUGAGGUAGAGCCUCAGGAAAUGUUUGCAGGAGGUAGAGCGACUGGAUGGGCGCGGGGGGGCGAAGCCCCUACCAACCCCAACCAAACUCCGAAUGCCUGUAAAAUGAAUCCUGGGAGGCAGUCGUUGAGCGAUAAUGUCCAACGGCGAGAGGGAAAGAACCCAGNNCGUGCCGUGACAACUGGGAGGUUGGCUUAGAAGCAGCCAUUCCUUUAAAGAGUGCGUAAUAGCUCACCAGUCCAGCGUGUUCGCGCCGAGAAUGGUCGGGAUUAAGCGGCCCGCCGAAGCUUGGUCUUCAUACUUAUGUAUGAGGGGUAGGGGAGCGUUCCCAUCUGCUGUGAAGCCAUCGUGGAAACGGUGGUGGAGCGUUGGGAAGUGAGGAUGCCGGAAUGAGUACGCGCAAAUGCGGGUGAAAACCCCGCACACCGUAAGCCCAAGGAUUCCUGCGCCAUGGCAAUCAGCGCAGGGUGAGGCGGACCCUAAGGCGAGGCCCCAAAGGCGUAGUCGAUGGACAGCCGGUCAAUAUUCCGGCCCCGCCUGCAGUGUGUUAACAACGACAGAGGGACCCAGAAACGAAGCGCGAGCGGCCUUGUGGAUUGGCCGUUCAACACCGUAGGGAAACCGAGAGUGGAGUACGAGAGUGCGGGGCAACCCAAACUCGAGUCGCGUAGAGUCGGCUGGCAAGAAAAGCUCUGUUCGGGAUUGCUGCAGACGUCCGUACCGUAAACCGACACAGGUGGGCGAGGCGAGCAGCCUCAGGUGAACGAGUGAAACGUGGUCAAGGAACUCGGCAUAAUGAUCCCGUAACUUCGGAAGAAGGGAUGCCCUUUGAGGUAGCCGGCUUCGCGCUGGUCGCUUCGAAGGGUCGCAGAUAAUCGGCUCAAGCGACUGUUUAGCAAAAACACAGGUGUGUGCCAAGCCGCACAAGGCGCCGUAUACACACUGACGCCUGCCCGGUGCCGGAAGGUUAAGGGGAGAGGUUAGCCGCAAGGCGAAGCUUUGAGCCGAAGCCCCGGUAAACGGCGGNNNNNNNNNNNNNNNNNNNNNNNCACGAAUGGCGUAACGACUUGAGCACUGUCUCGACCACGUGCUCGGCGAAAUUGCAGUCUCGGUGAGGAUUCCGAGUCCCCGCGACAGGACAAAAAGACCCCAUGCACCUUUACUGUAGCUUGCCAUUGGACGUCGCACGUGACUGUGUAGCAUAGGUGGGAGCCGAUGAGGCCCGGGCGCUAGCUCGGGCGGAGGCAACAGUGAAAUACCACCCUGGCUCCUGUAACGUCCUCACCACGUACUAGCAAACCUAGGCUGGGACCGUGGCAGGUGGGCAGUUUGACUGGGGCGGUCGCCUCCGAAAGAGUAACGGAGGCGCGCGCAUGGUGCCCUCAGUGCGGUCGGUAAUCGCACGAUGAGUGUAUACGCAGAAGCCAGCCUGACUGCGAGCGCGACAGCGCGAGCAGGGACGAAAGUCGGUGUAAGUGAUCCGGUGGGACCGUGUGGACGGCCCAUCGCUCAUCGGAUAAAAGGUACGCUGGGGAUAACAGGCUUAUCGCGCCCGAGAGUUCACAUCGACGGCGCGGUUUGGCACCUCGAUGUCGGCUUGUCACAUCCUGGGGCUGGAGAAGGUCCCAAGGGUCCGGCUGUUCGCCGGUUAAAGUGGCACAUGAGCUGGGUUCAGAACGUCGUGAGACAGUUCGGUCUGUAUCCGUCGUGGGCGUGGGAGUGUUGAGGGACGUCGUCCUUAGUACGAGAGGACCGGGACGAAGCGACCGCUCGUGUACGGGCUGUUCCGCCAGGGGCAGCGCCCGGUAGCGAUGUCGCGCGAAGAUAACCGCUGAAAGCAUCUAAGUGGGAAACUUUUCCCAAGAUGAACACUCCUGGAUCUUAAGAUCCCUGAAGGGCCCUGGGAGACUACCAGGUUGAUAGGCGGCAGAUGCAAGGCGUACAAGCGCUUCAGUCGAGCCGUACUAAUCGCCCGUGCAGUUUGAUCU
This 2066-nucleotide ribosomal RNA is filed under the name Gemmatimonadota bacterium. RNAcentral describes it as "bacterial LSU rRNA". It matches the Rfam family "Bacterial large subunit ribosomal RNA", at positions 790 to 2925 of the family's 2925-position model. Lineage: Bacteria; Pseudomonadati; Gemmatimonadota. The record is from RNAcentral.